Molecule: ribosomal RNA, 215 nt
Filed under: uncultured bacterium
Lineage: Bacteria
Description: partial 16S ribosomal RNA
Rfam family: Bacterial small subunit ribosomal RNA
Source: RNAcentral
CCUACGGGAGGCAGCAGUGGGGAAUUUUGGACAAUGGGGGAAAGCCUGAUCCAGCCAUGCCGCGUGAGUGAAGAAGGCCUUCGGGUUGUAAAGCUCUUUCGGCCGGAACGAAAUCAGCCGAGCUAACAUCUUGGUUGGAUGACGGUACCGGAAGAAGAAGCACCGGCUAACUACGUGCCAGCAGCCGCGGUAAUACGUAGGGUGCGAGCGUUAAU